Molecule: long non-coding RNA, 1033 nt
Organism: Salvia splendens (bonfire salvia)
Lineage: Eukaryota; Viridiplantae; Streptophyta; Magnoliopsida; Lamiales; Lamiaceae
Exons: 5
Source: RefSeq, a predicted model, not a curated record
UUUUGACUUGGAUUGAAAAAAAAAUUACCUCUGCGGCGCUGCUUCCGCCAAUUUUUCCUCUUUGGCGCCACUUCCUGUGCCCCCGCUGCCCCGCUACGGCUACUUCUUCCUCUCCAUCGCUCGACCUCUUCAAUCCGUCCAAAGUUAGAAACUUCUCUUGGAAAUCUAGAAUUUGGAGCAAAACAUAGUGUUGAGGAAAUUCUAGAACAGAGUUGCAAGGAGAUCAAUACCUUGUCUCACUCUUCGCAGCUGACGAAAGGGAUUUUCAUGUCCGGAUGAUUGGGAGCAUGAGGUGAAGAAAAUGUGGGCUGAAAAAGCUGCAAAAAUAUACUCGAGUUUUAUUAGUACCUUGAAGAAGAUGUACACAAACGGUAAAUCCCGACCCAUUUACGUACCUCAGGAGAUGUGGAGUGGAUUGAUUGACCUCUGGAAAGUUGAAAAUGUUAUCAAGAAGUCUGAAGCGGCAAAGAAGGCAAGAAUGUCUGAACCAGAUGGACGUACCUGGCACUAGAAUAAGCAAGCAACGAGGAGGGUCAUUGUCUGUCAAUGAGAGAUCUAUGCAAAAGCCUGCCGAAAAGGGAGUCUCGAUGAUGGAUUGUGUGCAUGACUGGUUUCAAGAGAUACACUCGUUCAAGGAUGGUCGGCAUACAUACAAGAAAGCUGCAGAUGUUGAUCUUAAAAAGCCUUGUGCGUGGCAGCUCAGCAGGAACUCCAGGAAUUAAUGGUCAUGCCUCGACCGGCUUAGAUCCUUCAGUUCGAGCCGAGAGGAAUUGCGUCAAGAAUUGCGGAAAGAAUUACGACAAGAGGUGCAAGAGAUGGUGAAGGAGAUCAUGAUGACGCCGCACAAGUCCAGCCACAUUUCUGAUUCAGCAAGUAUAUGAUUGACACAUAUCACAAACUUGAUAUGAUGUACUGUACUUCUUUUGAACAGCAUACUACCUAUUAUACUUCUAUUGUCUUAACUACUUUUAUCCCCAGUCAUCACAAUUUUUGGAUUUAAUGUUUAUAUAAUAGAUUUAAUGUUUAUUUAGUA